Long non-coding RNA from Cyprinodon variegatus (sheepshead minnow), 367 nucleotides. RefSeq lists it as uncharacterized. Lineage: Eukaryota; Metazoa; Chordata; Actinopteri; Cyprinodontiformes; Cyprinodontidae. The record is from RefSeq and is a predicted model, not a curated record. The transcript has 3 exons.
CCGUUCGUCAGUCCCUACCUCCUUCUGUUGACAUUAAAACAAGCAGCGUCUUGAAGAUAAAGAAGAUUGACUCAACUCUUCCAUGUGAUAAAGAAGUGGACAUCUCCAUUGAUUACACCGUUGUGCAUGAACCACAGGGAUCUAUAGAUAUCGUUCAUCUGGUCUUAUACAGAGGAACUAUUGGCAGUGGAGGACAAAAACAAGUUCAAAUUGAAGAUAAACCAGUGAAUGAGGGUCAGGUGUCCUUCAGCCUGAACAUUUCUCCAGACAUGGCUCCACUGAUCCAGGUUGUGGCUUACGCUGUCCUCCCCAGUGAGAAUGUGAUUGCUGCCAGUGCUGAGUUCUCCACAGAAAAAUGCUUUAGUAA